Molecule: RNA transcript, 2138 nt
Organism: Bombyx mori (domestic silkworm)
Lineage: Eukaryota; Metazoa; Arthropoda; Insecta; Lepidoptera; Bombycidae
Exons: 12
Source: RefSeq, a predicted model, not a curated record
CAAUACACGGUUCGAGCUUGUACGGUACGGACGAUCGCAACGCGUUUAUUAUAAUAAUUCAGUAUUCUCAACGUCAAUAAAAUGUCUUUCAACAUUGAUGACCCUCAAUACCACAUGGGACAUCUAUUCAUGGACUGCAUGAGAAGACGACCUGAUUCAGUGUGCCAGGUAGACGCAGCAACAGGGGAGACAGAGACCAACGCGUCAGUACUACAGCGGUCUGUGCGGUUAGCCAAGUACAUGCGGACGCUCGGUCUUAAGCCGGGGGAUAUACUGGCACUGGGGGGAAGAAACCACUUGGAUCUUUAUAUACCAUAUUAUGCUGCCUUAAUGAAUGGAUAUCCUAUAACCGGCGUCGAUCCACUAUUCAAAUUACAUGAAAUCAAAAGCUUUUUCAAAUUGACGCAACCAAAAAUAGCGUUUUGUCAACAAAAUCAACGGGAGAACUACUUGGAGGCUGCCCGCGAAUUGGGCCUUGACACGAGAGUCAUCACAUUUGACGGAGACGAGCCGAUGUCCGAGUUACUAGCUGACUUCGCUGAUGACGAUAUUGCUGAUUUUCAGCCGGCCACUUUCGAUUUAGACAAGGUUUACGUCUGGCUGAUUAGCACUGGUGGUACAUCGGGAGCUCUGAAAGUAGCUGCCAUCAAACACAAAGCUUGGAUUAGAAAAGCGAUUUCAUUCACUUUGUGUCUGCUUGAAUUAAACGAUAAAGAUGAUACCAGUCCAGUAAUUGCGCUGAAUCUGUCUCCCGUGCAAUGGGUGUCGGGACUUUUUAACGCAAUGAGCGCACCGCUUCUCAACCAAACAAAGGUACAGACGUCAGCGCUACUUACAAUGGAACAUGUCGUUGAGAUCAUAAACAAGUACAAGCCAAAAACCACAAUGAUGAAUCCGUCGCUAGCUUCUAAUUUGUUGGCCUAUGAAAACUGUGACUUCAAAUGUUUCAAAAGCUUCGUUUUAGGAGGCGGGAAAUUACAUACGGACGUUAUUUUGGCACUAAAGAGUAGAUUACGGCACGACGCGUUAUUGAUCGAAGGGUACGGGCAGACAGAGAACAUAGGACCGGUAUUCGCAACGAACCAUAAAACGCCAAUCGGUAGUUGCGGCAAAAGAUCGAACUCCGUUGAAGUUAAGUUGGUAGAUCUUGAGACUGGUCUAGAAAUAACUGAACCACAUGUCCUGGGAGAACUGUGGACUAAAGGAGAUUGUUUUACAGAGUACUACAUGAAUCCAGAAGAAACUGCUAAGGCCUUCACAGCGGAUGGCUGGUUUAAAACCGGGGAUAUUUUGUACAGAGACGAAGAGGACUUUUUCUAUUUCGUCGAAAGAAUGAGCAUGAUCAUCCAAUACAGGAGCUUCCGUGUUAUACCUCUUGAAAUCGAAGGGGUGAUCAGAACUCACGAAGGAGUAUUGGAUGUUAGUGUUACCAGUAUACCUAGUGAAGAAGACGGCGAACAUCCCGUAGCGUGUGUGGUGAGACGGAAGGAUGCCACCGUCACAGCAGCGGAGAUAAAAGAAUUUGUUGCCGCUGGAAAACUACAUGGAGAAUUAUAUGCAAUACAAGAUAAUGAGCUCCAUUAAAUGAAUUCGAAUGAAACCAAACUGUUUACCAUCCAAAUUCGAUUGUCGGGCAGAUAGAAAACGAAAAUUCACUCAUAGUGAACCUCGGCCUGCAUUUGUGAAACGGCAAAGACUCACUAUUAUCAAGGAAAUUGAAGAGACGACUAAAAAUGAGAUGUGUCGUAUUAUUAUACCUUUGCCAUCUUGUAGUCAAGAUGUCCAGCCACUUGAAAAUAGGUGUAGUAAUGACAAAGCUAUCCAAGUAGCUCCAGCACAGGAACACAAAGGCAAGGCAAGUGUGUAUUGCCACAUCACCCCUUAAUAUAUCUGAAGCAAGUAUAAGUAAACAAUCAGAACCAGCAAAAAAAAAAACUGUUGUUCCUGAGGACAAAUUUGACAGUGAUGAGUCAAAUGCACCAGCAACAGAAGGAUCAACUGUUGACUAUGGGUUAUAGAAGAAGAAGAUUAAUUCAUAUUUAUUUAAAUUAAUAUUAAUGAAUAUUAAUUUAAAUUAUCGUGCAAAAUUCGUGGUCAAAACAUAUGUGUAUUUUAUAAAUAAAUAUUCAUUCUCAGUA